This 465-nucleotide ribosomal RNA is filed under the name Vreelandella stevensii. RNAcentral describes it as "partial 16S ribosomal RNA". It matches the Rfam family "Bacterial small subunit ribosomal RNA", at positions 338 to 795 of the family's 1533-position model. The record is from RNAcentral. Lineage: Bacteria; Pseudomonadati; Pseudomonadota; Gammaproteobacteria; Oceanospirillales; Halomonadaceae.
CCUACGGGUGGCUGCAGUGGGGAAUAUUGGACAAUGGGGGGAACCCUGAUCCAGCCAUGCCGCGUGUGUGAAGAAGGCCCUCGGGUUGUAAAGCACUUUCAGUGAGGAAGAACGCCUGGUGGUUAAUACCCAUCAGGAAAGACAUCACUCACAGAAGAAGCACCGGCUAACUCCGUGCCAGCAGCCGCGGUAAUACGGAGGGUGCGAGCGUUAAUCGGAAUUACUGGGCGUAAAGCGCGCGUAGGUGGCUUGAUAAGCCGGUUGUGAAAGCCCCGGGCUCAACCUGGGAACGGCAUCCGGAACUGUCAAGCUAGAGUGCAGGAGAGGAAGGUAGAAUUCCCGGUGUAGCGGUGAAAUGCGUAGAGAUCGGGAGGAAUACCAGUGGCGAAGGAGGCCUUCUGGACUGACACUGAAACUGAGGUGCGAAAGCGUGGGUAGCAAACAGGAUUAGAUACCCGAGUAGUC